RNAcentral lists this ribosomal RNA (406 nucleotides) under uncultured bacterium. RNAcentral's name for it is "partial 16S ribosomal RNA". It matches the Rfam family "Bacterial small subunit ribosomal RNA", at positions 30 to 526 of the family's 1533-position model. The record is from RNAcentral.
AUUGAACGCUGGCGGCAGGCCUAACACAUGCAAGUCGAACGAGGGGCGGACGGGUGAGAAAUGUCUGGGAAACUGCUCGAUGGAGGGGGAUAACUACUGGAAACGGUAGCUAAUACCGCAUACCAUCGGAUGUGCCCAGAUGGGAUUAGCUAGUAGGUGGGGUAAUGGCUCACCUAGGCGACGAUCCCUAGCUGGUAUGAGAGGAUGACCAGCCACACUGGAACUGAGCCACGGUCCAGACUCCGACGGGAGGCAGCAGUGGGGAAUCUUGCGCAAUGGGCGCAAGCCUGAUGCAGCCAUGCCGCGUGUAUGAAGAAGGCCUUCGGGUUGUAAAGUACUUUCAGCGGGGAGGCGUUACCCGCAGAAGAAGCACCGGCUAACUCCGUGCCAGCAGCCGCGGUAAUAC